UCCCCUGUGGCUCAGUUGGUAGAGCAUGGUGUUUGCAACGCCAGGGUUGUGGGUUCGAUUCCCACGGGGGGGA
RNAcentral lists this transfer RNA (73 nucleotides) under Salmo salar (Atlantic salmon). It matches the Rfam family "tRNA". From Rfam's summary of the family: Transfer RNA (tRNA) molecules are approximately 80 nucleotides in length. Their secondary structure includes four short double-helical elements and three loops (D, anti-codon, and T loops). Further hydrogen bonds mediate the characteristic L-shaped molecular structure. tRNAs have two regions of fundamental functional importance: the anti-codon, which is responsible for specific mRNA codon recognition, and the 3' end, to which the tRNAs corresponding amino acid is attached (by aminoacyl-tRNA synthetases). tRNAs cope with the degeneracy of the genetic code in two manners: having more than one tRNA (with a specific anti-codon) for a particular amino acid; and 'wobble' base-pairing, i.e. permitting non-standard base-pairing at the 3rd anti-codon position. Lineage: Eukaryota; Metazoa; Chordata; Actinopteri; Salmoniformes; Salmonidae. The record is from Rfam by way of RNAcentral.